This 431-nucleotide ribosomal RNA is filed under the name uncultured bacterium. RNAcentral describes it as "bacterial SSU rRNA". It matches the Rfam family "Bacterial small subunit ribosomal RNA", at positions 368 to 793 of the family's 1533-position model. The record is from RNAcentral.
ACAAUGGACGAAAGUCUGAUGGAGCAACGCCGCGUGAGUGAAGAAGGGUUUCGGCUCGUAAAACUCUGUUGUUAAAGAAGAACAUAUCUGAGAGUAACUGUUCAGGUAUUGACGGUAUUUAACCAGAAAGCCACGGCUAACUACGUGCCAGCAGCCGCGGUAAUACGUAGGUGGCAAGCGUUGUCCGGAUUUAUUGGGCGUAAAGCGAGCGCAGGCGGUUUUUAAGUCUGAUGUGAAAGCCUUCGGCUCAACCGAAGAAGUGCAUCGGAAACUGGAAACUUGAGUGCAGAAGAGGACAGUGGAACUCCAUGUGUAGCGGUGAAAUGCGUAGAUAUAUGGAAGAACACCAGUGGCGAAGGCGGCUGUCUGGUCUGUAACUGACGCUGAGGCUCGAAAGUAUGGGUAGCAAACAGGAUUAGAUACCCUGGUAG